AAGCUGCAACUAUUCUACCAUGCCUGCAAUGUGAUGCCAUGUAUGAAAUAAUCAUCAUGCAACAGUGUACUAUCAUGCUAGUAUGAUGUCAAGAGUAUAUAUAUGUAACAUAGCAAUGCAAUCUACAACAUACACUAUGUUUACUUAAGGUAAGAAUGCAAUUCUACUAUGCUAUUCAUGUUCAUUACCCAAUUUACCUGGCUGACCCGUAGGUUAAGCCCUCAACUCACUUUCAAUCUCAUUGGUGAGGAGAAGCUGCACUCGCACACCGAGACCGUCUGCGGGACAACUACGUCUACCCCUGUGUGAAGUACUCCGGAGACCACUGCUUUGGUGGAGCGACCACCGACAAGCGAAACAGACUAGUGAGUAUGAUCCAAUCCUCACAAGAGGAUACCCUAUCUACUAGGGUCAUAGUGCCUCUGCUGCACAAUCACAAUGCAUAAUCAAAUGCCGGGACUUCUACCAUCCCUAAGUUCAUGUCAUAUUUACUACACUAGACUCGAUGCCACUCGUUCGAUCAUUUGUAGUAAGUUUUCUAACUAGUUGACAUGCCACUCGUUCAUGUUUAGUGUUUCUACUACACUAGUUCAAUGCCACUCAUCUAGGCUAUACAUGUCUAAGUUCAUCUCAUUGUGCCACUAUAGGAUUCCAUGUCACAAGACCCAAUCCUCAUGCGUCCCUAGUCCAUGUGUCAAGCCCUCGAUGCUACACUACUAAGAAAGCAUGCAAGAAAUUAGAAUUGCAACUAUCUACUAUCCUAUAAUGCAUAAUAUCCAUAUAUGAUCAAUAUAAAGAACUUAGACAUAAAAAGAAGCUCGGUUGCUUCGGGAUGGACACCCCCCACCUUUUGGUGAUGUCUUGAAGCUACGAAUCCGUUUCUGAGAUUUUAGAAAGCUUACGCCGCAAGCUGCGGCAAUCUGUACCUCUACGGCUUAUUUCCUCAAUAUCUUCACGUACGCUCGUCGUUUCGCCGAACCGAGCACACCAACGCGUCAGAAUACCUACCAAUUAGGUUAGAGAAAGGUCAAUCAAGAUCAAAACCCUCCAUGAACAAAAGCCUUUUUUUGGAUGCCCUAGAAGCCCCAAUAUUGCAAUAGCUCUAUUCUAACAUUUAUUCUUGCAAUUAGUGAGUUCCAUUACUUCUAGAGGUCUAUUAAAGUCCAUCUAGCUAGGUUCUAAGAGAUCAAAGCAAACCCUAAGCUACUUGCCAUGAGAGAGGGUUGAAGCUUACCUCUACUAGCUAGACCAAAGAGAGGAAGAAGAGGUGAGGAAGAUGGUAGCUCUCCUCCUGAUCUCUUUCUCCUCCUCCUUCUUCUUCUUCUUCUUCUCCUCCUCCUCCUCCUCCUCCUAGAGAGAGAAAGAGAGGUGUGUGUGUAUGGGAGUGUUGGAGAGAAUGAGAAAAAAAGAGAGGGGAAAUGCCCACUUAACCCCUCUCAUGCUACAAUAGCAUAUAAGCCCCUCCACUUUGCCUCUUGUGCACUGCCCAGACUGGGCAGAUUUCGCAUGCGGGGACCAGUCCCUCUACAGGAGGACCGGUCCCCGAGAGCAGCCUCACAUGCAGAGCCCUCUGUCAGCCUCUCCACGCGCACAGGGACCGUUCCCUUGCUGAGAGACCGGUCCUCGAGGGUCCGGUCCCCUGCCAAGAGACCGGUCCCCGAGAGCACAAUUCUGCGCAGAGGCCUCCUGCCUCUUCUCCACGCGUACGGAGACCGGUCUCUCCCGCCAGGGACCGAUCCCCAAGAGCAAAAAAUGGCAGGGCAGCCUUUUGCUGCCCUCCAUACCUACGGGGUCCAGUCCCUCACCACAGGGACCGGUCCCCGAGAGCUAAAAACUGCAGUCUUGCAGAUUUUCUCCCAGCUUGCUCUCGUGACCCCUCCUCAAUGCACUCUUCGUAUUUCCGACAUCUUCAGCCUUUCCGAAGCGUAUUAACACGACCCAUGGUCGAUUUUAAACGAAGUCCAACUCUCGUAUUUCGAGAAUUCACUUCCUUACAAUUGGGGCGUCACAAACUCCCCCCGUUUAGGCCCUGACGUCCUCGUCAGCCCUAAACAUACACACAGCCCAAAAUAUACACACAGCCCAAAAUCACGAGGUGAUGUGAGACUUGUCUCGCUGAC
Molecule: long non-coding RNA, 2120 nt
Filed under: Ananas comosus (pineapple)
Lineage: Eukaryota; Viridiplantae; Streptophyta; Magnoliopsida; Poales; Bromeliaceae
Description: long non-coding RNA (ACOM_LNC010126)
Source: RNAcentral